Molecule: ribosomal RNA, 467 nt
Filed under: uncultured bacterium
Lineage: Bacteria
Description: partial 16S ribosomal RNA
Rfam family: Bacterial small subunit ribosomal RNA
Source: RNAcentral
GAUGAACGCUGACAGAAUGCUUAACACAUGCAAGUCAACUUGAAUUUGGGUUUUUAACUUAGGUUUGGGUGGCGGACGGGUGAGUAACGCGUAAAGAACUUGCCUCACAGCUAGGGACAACAUUUGGAAACGAAUGCUAAUACCUAAUAUUAUGAUAAUAGGGCAUCCUAUAAUUAUGAAAGCUAUAAGCGCUGUGAGAGAGCUUUGCGUCCCAUUAGCUAGUUGGAGAGGUAACGGCUCACCAAGGCGAUGAUGGGUAGCCGGCCUGAGAGGGUGAUCGGCCACAAGGGGACUGAGACACGGCCCUUAUUCCUACGGGAGGCAGCAGUGGGGAAUAUUGGACAAUGGACCGAGAGUCUGAUCCAGCAAUUCUGUGUGCACGAUGAAGUUUUUCGGAAUGUAAAGUGCUUUCAGUUGGGAAGAAACAAAUGACGGUACCAACAGAAGAAGUGACGGCUAAAUACGUG